UGGAAUGCAUAGGAAUCUACCUAGUAGUAUGGGAUAGCCCUAGAAAUGGUGGGUAAUACUGUAUAAUCCCUGCGGGGGAAAGAUUUAUCGCUAUUAGAUGAGCCUAUGUUAGAUUAGCUAGUUGGUAGGGUAAAGGCCUACCAAGGCGAUGAUCUAUAGCUGGUCUGAGAGGAUGAUCAGCCACACUGGAACUGAGAUACGGUCCAGACUCCUACGGGAGGCAGCAGUGGGGAAUAUUGGACAAUGGGCGCAAGCCUGAUCCAGCUAUGCCGCGUGAGUGAGGAAGGCCUUAGGGUUGUAAAACUCUUUCAGUAGGGAAGAUAAUGACGGUACCUACAGAAGAAGUCCCGGCAAACUCCGUGCCAGCAGCCGCGGUAAUACGGAGGGGGCAAGCGUUGUUCGGAAUUAUUGGGCGUAAAGGGCAUGUAGGCGGUUCGGUAAGUUAAAGGUGAAAUGCCAGGGCUUAACCCUGGAGCUGCUUUUAUAA
RNAcentral lists this ribosomal RNA (487 nucleotides) under Anaplasma phagocytophilum. RNAcentral describes it as "bacterial SSU rRNA". It matches the Rfam family "Bacterial small subunit ribosomal RNA", at positions 109 to 632 of the family's 1533-position model. The record is from RNAcentral. Lineage: Bacteria; Pseudomonadati; Pseudomonadota; Alphaproteobacteria; Rickettsiales; Anaplasmataceae.